This is a long non-coding RNA of Gallus gallus (chicken), 8198 nucleotides long. RefSeq lists it as uncharacterized. The record is from RefSeq and is a predicted model, not a curated record. NCBI's taxonomy places the organism in Eukaryota, Metazoa, Chordata, Aves, Galliformes, Phasianidae. The transcript is spliced from 12 exons.
GGGCGCGGGGCUGCCGCCGGCGGGGGCGGGGGACGUCUGCUUCCCGCUUGGCCCCUCCGGGAGGGGGAAGGAAAAAAAGGAAAAAGAAAACUGGAGGAUUUAAAAAAGAAAAGGGGCCGAAGGCGCAGCCCCUGCUUGCGGGCACCCCAGGCUGAGGGUUAUUUUCGGGGUGCGAGAGCCUCCCGCUUUUCUGUUGGCUGUGGGAGAGGGUCUACGUUUGCUUUGGGUCUUUUUCUUUCUUUUUUCCUCUGGAAAUGGGGAAUUGCACGGCGAUCCGCGGGAGCGCAGAAAGAGAAAGGGAGGGGAGGAGGAGGGAAAGGGAGAGAAGGUUGCACGGGGAGCUGCAGCCUACAGGUUGCAGGGGUUGGGGAGUGGGAUGGGACCGCACACACGCACACGCACACACGCACCCAAAGGGAUGGGAGGAGGCAGGUUGGGAAGGGAGCAAAGUUCCUUGAAACACAGCGUCCUGCUCUUAUGGCAUCAAAGCAGUCAGGAGGGGGAAAGAAAAGAAAAGAGAAAAGAAAAGCGCAGGAGAAGGAAGAGGGGAUGCAAAGCUCCCCUUCCCUCCCCCUUCUUCUGCAGGAGGAGGAGAAGUCUCUCCCGACGCAGCGAGCUGCUGGGAAGCGUGGUAUGAAGCAAAGUGGUGUUUCGAUCGGCUCUGUUCAACCCUCUCGCUUUCCUCUUCCAAGUAUCACAGUCAAAAGGUGACUGAGGCACAAAGUAGGACUGGAGUUGGCUGAAAAGUGCUCCCAGCUGAAGGGCAGAAAACACCUGCAUCUAAUAAAAACAAACGAGAAACAUCAUCAAUAACCAGAAGAAAAAAUGGCAUAAAUAAAAGGAAAAGUACAAAUUCAGAUGGUCUCUGGGAAACUCGAACAAAUGCCCCAGCCUGCUGUCUUCUGGAGUUAAGGCCUUGUUGCCAGUGGGUGGAGUGGUGAGAUCUACAUUGCAUCUACUAUGGCUAAGGAGAAGACCAGCAUUUCCAGGACUGUCAACUGAACCUCCUUCACACUACAGACACAACUUUAUAAAUACAAAAAGAAAAAGAAAAAAUUGAACUGUGAUCUUUCUGGAAUGGAGAUGUAUCCAAAAGAACUGUGCUUUGGGUUGUACAGCCUUCCCAAGGAGUCAGAACAAAUAUCCAGACUUCAACACGAGACCAAGCAGAGUUGCUCAGUCCCUGUGGAGAUGAGAUAUAGAACUGGAGAAUAUAAACAGAUGUGGAGACAUUUUGAUGCAUUUCUGAAAAAACAAAUGACAUUUUGCUGCUAUAUUUUAGAGUUCAGUCCAGCCCCCUUAUCAAGAAUAUGAUGCAAAAAACAAUAGUCACUUCAUUUUCAUUUCUCAGUCUGUCUGGAGAGCAAAAGGCACAGUCAUCUAGUAGAUGAGGUAACAUCAGAGCCUAACAACUGUUGAGAAAGUCUUGUAGAGUUUAAAAUGCUGAAGAAAAAGGGAAGAAUCAUUAAGAAACUAUAAAUCUGAAGGAAAUCAAUAUGAUAGUCUAAGAUCUUGAAAUAGCAUAGCAUGUAUUUUUAUUUAUUAUUGCAGGCAGGUUGAUUAGUACCUGAGGGAGAUUCUCAGAAUCACAAAGCAUGGGCUGGAAGGGACCGCUGGAGAUCAUCUACAAGCCAGCACAAUGCAUCUAACCCAAUACAGACUAAAAGAUUCCACAGAAACAAGGAACUAUAGGGUACUGGAGCAGAAAUGCUAAGUCACAGCUUGAACCAGUGAUUGAGCACCUGGUGGGAAGGCAGGGCCAACCCAGGGGAGCUCAGGUGCAUGCAAUGAGGAUCUGCCCGAUCCUGGCUCCACCCCUUCCCAGACCUCAUUUAAGGACUGGCAGUAGGGGCAAGAGCAUCUCACUGGAGAUCCCUGCCUAGUAGAGGCCUUCUAAAGAUACAAAAGGUUAAACUCCAUCUUCCUAGUCUUGUCCCCCUUCUUCUGUACGGGAGAGCCAUCCUGUGAAAGAAGUAAGACUGCAGCAGUGAAAGUUUAGGGUAUUUUCUACAUCUCUGGAGCUGACUUCUGCGGGCAGAUGAAGGACGUGCAGACAGCGAGAGUGUCUGUAGCUCACGGUUUUGAAAUGGCAAGGCAUGCUGUUCAAGGAUAUCUUUACCAAUUUUAACUAACCAGCGUGGCCUGCUCAGGCCAGUAUUAUGGACAGCAACAAACAAGAGGACACUUUGUCUCAUCAGUCUCAUGGAUAUAACUUUCUGCUUACAGCUGUAUUUGGCUAAGACCUGUACGUGGUUAUGGACUUUGACUCAGUGGCUGGGCUUGGAUGGGAGCCUUCUGGCUUACAAUCCUAUGCUCCAACCAUCUAAUCUCUCAGCCCAAAGGAAACUAUGGUGUCCCUGUGGACUCUUAGUAAGACACCACAGCUUUGUUGAGUGCUUAGCUUUUGAUGGGGGUAUUUGAAGGCUUCACAGAUGGCAUUCAGUGACUCUGUUCCCCCUUUCUACCUGGAGGCUGCCAAAGGAUGGCAGCAAAGAGACAGAUGUUAGAGGGAUGUCAGGGUGUGAAUAAAGGGGCACGUGCAACAGGAAAAGCGCUGCAAUAGCUGUUGCUGUGAAGGAAAAGCAUUCCAUACUGGAAAGCCAGCUAUAUGGAAUGCAGUCUUUUCUGCAGUUUGGUGCUGAUAAAAAUGCUGCACUGGCAUUUCUGCAAUAUGAUACUCCAAAGCAAGAAUAUGGUUUGUUAUUACAUCUGUGGCCAGCAGGACUUCGUGGUGGUGGAGGAGACAUCCUCAGCUAUGGCUGAAUGUUUAGUUUCCAUGCCCCUUCUGUCCUAGGAUGGCAGUCAGCAAUAAUUACUUCAGUGGUUUCUACCCUACAAUUCUUAGCCUCUAAGGACUAUACACGGAUCCAGAAACUCGUUCCAUGCAAGCCCUUUCUAACAGGAUGAUGACUUCUAGUUUCUGCUGGACUUGAUCUAGAUUCGCAUGGGAAAGCUAGAGAAGAAAUGACAGUUUGCUGGAGCAGCCUGUGCCAGGCCAGAUUUCUGUAACGAGCCAUCUGCAUUUGGAAACAACCCUGAGCUGACAGAGAAAGAAACAUAAUAAUCAAUCUGAGGCAUAUGAUGUAAUAAUCUACCAGCCACAAGAUCUAGAUAGGAGAGGAAAAUUGAUCAGUAAUGACAACUGUUAUUUACAGGAGUGUUAAGACUACCACCUGGAACGCCAGAAGAUGGGCAGUGUCCUUUAAUUCUGUUGCAAAUUUCUGACACCUAAGCAUGCUUUUCUGCAGGACAAGAGAAGGGGCAAUUGCACUUAUUUGUCUUGUUUAACAGAACUCCUGUUUCUGACAUAAUCUUUACACUUGCUUCUCUAGUUAAGUCUCUUUUUUUUUCUUCUUCUUUUCUUUCCCUGGUGUUUGCAUGAACUCGGUGAACCCUCAUCACGUGUGGCAGUGUUUAUAUUUGCACAGGCUGUUCUGUGUGUCUCUGUUUGUGUUGCCACCACAUCUACAUGGUUUGGCAGCAGCCCCACGGCUGUGUUUCAGCUGCAUAUAAAUCAGCUUCGCUCCAUCCCCCUGUGUUUCCAUCUGUCUGUCUUCCUUGAUUGCUCUGAAAUGUUACAGGGCAUGGAGGUUAGCCCAUGGCUGAACCCUUCAGAGAGAAAUGGUGCAAAACCAAACCUGAGUUUCUCCUCCUCAAAUCUAACUCCACAACCUUUGGAGGUGUGGGGUGUUAAUGUUUUUGCAGUGACAAACCUCAAAGCGGGGACUAACCUUUGCUUCUGUAGUUUUCAGGUCUGUUUCUCCCAAAACACUUGUAUAGAAGCUCUAAGGUCACCUCUGUGUUGUGGAGCUAAUCCUUCCUUAGCUUUUCAUUAUGUGAAGAUCUCCCUUUACUCGCACAAAUUUAACUUCUGCUCUGUCAUUAAUUAUUACCUCCAAUUUGAUUGCUUCACAUCUCAUUAGUUCAUUUAUUUCUCUGGAGAAGGAGGUGUGAAAUGGGAAUGACUGGAAGCAUGGGGAACUGCAGGCACGUGAUCAGAGAAUGGGAUGUUAGGCAGAAAUCACAGACCUUGAUACUCUCCUUGCACAGAGAUGUUUCUCUAGGAGUCUCCUCCCAGACUGAGUUCAUAAUGGGGUUAAUCACAUAUGAGUUUGAUUGAAUUGCUGUGAGCCCUGGAGAUAAACUUCUAGCUCAGAGUGUUUGUGCGAUUUACUCUUGGCCAUGUCUCUUCUCUUGCAGAAUAGAUGCCCCAGGGGAACAGAAGAUCGAGCAUGCUGCCCUUUGGCCAUUGGCACUAAUUUGCCAAUUCAGUAGAGAUGACAAAAGACGAAGUGGGGAGUCCACGCCCAUCUCAGGUAAAAGAAUUGCCUGUUUCAAGAAAACUGGGAAACACUGAUAGGACAAAAUAAAUGGGAGAAGAACAAGACUCCUAUGUCAUCUUGUGGACUUCAGACACAGCGACAGAUCAAACGUAGUUAUGGUGAGAAAACAUUGAUAUUCUGCCUUCUCCUUGAGCAUAAAGCAGACAACAAACACCUCUCUUUAACCUGUAAAUGCUAGUAGGGCUUUGUAUGGAUGCUCUAGGUCUGUUGGAAUUUUCUUCCUUCUAAAACGAGUCUCAGAGUCACUGUAGACUAAGAAAAAGAGCAGAUUAAUCGAAUCGGCCUCCCGAACCACCCAGAUUGUACUUCACAAAGGAUUCUGUGUGUUCUUAGCAAGGUCAAUUGACUAAGUAGUCAUCUGUGAGUGUGGAUUCUUGUCUCUUUCUAACCUUCUCUCAAAUUAGGAGAUAUCUGGGCUUGGUGCUCUAUUCUGCCAGUUGCUCUGGCUUCAAAUUUUGAAUUUUUUUAAAAAAUUACACAGUUGAGUCUAAUGUUCAAUUUCAGUGGUUUCCAGGGGAUUAUUUGUAGUGCCUAUUCUGCUAUACAGAGAAAUCUUUCUUUAAAAACACGAUCCAUCUUUCUAGUAGUACUUCAUUUAGAAAUUCAGAGUGGGCAGAUAGCCCUGAGAUAUGGAUAUCCUCUUCUUUUGCCUUCUAUCUGAAAAAGGGGGAAAAAAAAUCUAGUAUUUUUUUCAGUAUUGCUGAUGUCCCAGACACGUCUGAGUAACUGUCAUGUACAAUCAGUAUCUAUCCAUGGGAAUCUCAUAGAACCAGGGUGGUUUUAAUGUUCACCAGAAUAUUUCUGUGAGAGUUCCUAGGAUGCCAGGGAAAGCACUGACUGACCACAGAAAACAGAUAUGAGACAAGUGCAUGAUGACUUUUUUUUUUUAAGGAAAAAAGUAUUAAGGAUCCAACUGAGAACUACACUGACACAACUAUAUUUACUUUUGGUCACUGUUAAGUCUGUGUUUUCCAGCCUGUUAACUCCACGAGAAUAAGACAUAGCUGCAGUAUGGAGCUGAGUCAGUUUGGAUUCAGCAUUUAAAGAAAGAAUGGAAGAGAAGCAACCAGGUGUCAAAAGAUGUAAGUAGGUUAGAUCACAAUGAGGAGAUAGCCUUCCCAUCUGCUGGGAACUCCUUUGCAAGGUAAGACUGUUAGAUAUACAAGUCCCUGGCUGGGACUGGUGAAGAGGAUGUAAGCAUGGAAACUAACAGAGCUCUACUAUGAUCAAGUAGGGGAUGAGGGCAGCAUUCCCUAUAAAAAGGAUCCUGAGGUCCCUGCUGAGGUGCCAAGGUUGAAUAUUUUGCCAGAGGUGGAAACUGAAUUGAUUUGUGCCCCUCAGGCUAGCUCCAGGAACCUCACUCCUGCCUGAGAGCAUUAGUCCACAUGUGGAGAGAGGCUUUUCAGCUGGAGACGAGUUUAUGGCUUUUGACUUUUUCAUGUUCAUGUGUUUUUAUAAAGCCACAAUCGUUUUGUUUUUUUUUAUUGGGCUUUUAUAGAAAGGUCUCUGAAGUCUAGCAAAAUCUCAGCUUAACAGUAGAGAUUGUGCUAGAGAGACAUAUAAGAAGUAAGAGAAAAUAAGAAGGCCAUGGGAGAGAUGGGUAAAUACAGAAGUGCAAGCAGAGUUCUGUCAAAGCAAGUUUCUGACUUACACAUUUAACUUUAUCCGUCAGCCUAGGGGCAAGUCUACAGCAUGAUUAACCUCCUAGAUCUCACUUGUUCCAGGUCCAAGCAUUAUCUGGCCAGAGUGCAUUGCCAAUCCACCAUGCCAGCCAUCCCACCAGAGGCAUCUUGAUGUCAGCAUUGAUGUGACCCAGAAAUGAGGGGAGAGUGACGGGAAUUCACUGUGCUGGGGAAUUCAGUGCUGCAGAUAGUGAAACACCUUCCAAACCAGAAGAGGUUGCUCUGUGUUCCAAUAUUACUGAUGGUAAAGGAAAUGUUGUGUGAAAUGUUCUGGUCAGCCAAGGAAGUGGACCAUGCAGCAUGGGAUGGCAGCCCCUUCGUGAUCCCCGAGGCUUUGGUGCUGGGAUCAGCACAAGGAAGGACGCCAGAGGAAAAAGUCAGGUUCAGGUUGGAAACGUAUUGCUCAGAGGAAGCAGAUGGAAGAAGAGGUGUCUCUGACUUUGAAUCAGCUUCUGUAUGAUCAUGGCUUAAUGAUCAUAAAUCCUCUGGGGCCUGCAACCUAACAAGGGAAUAAAGGAGGAAGCGCCGUCUCUCUCAGAUCAAAGUAAAGAGAAAAGCUGAGAUGUAAAGGAGACGAAAUGAGCUACAGGCGGAACAAUAUGGAAACCCACUGCUGGGAAACCGUUUUUCCGAGCCAGAGAGGAGGCAGGGAAUUGUUCUGUGCAACCAUUCAGGAGCCUCCGCUCCCACGCAUUCUCCCGCUUGCUGACACCCUGCCAGGACCGCAAAGGAGGAAUUGAUUUACAUGCAGCUCUGUACAAAAUGGAAUGGAAAGCUGGCCUUCCUACAGACAUAUUUUCCCCGCUAUUUUCCAGCUCUAAGUGAAGGUUUGGGUCAGAUGUUACCUUGGAUUGCAUGGGAAUGUCACUAAGCAACGUGGUCUUGAAUACUGCUGAACUCUCCUUUUUGCUGCUCCUCACGUCAAGUCUAGUUGUGUUGAAGAUGAGAAGUUACAUCUCUCUGCAAACUAAAAUAAUCCCCCAUUAGUAUUUGUCACCUGCAAGGCUUGGAAUGGGAGGCAUGGUGAUUCAGUGAAACUUAUUGUUCAGUACAGCUCAUAUAUAGUGUACUGCAUAGGUAUAGUGUUUCCAAUUAGAGGUCCAAUAGUAAAAGAAGAUUCAUGGACAAUCUCAGCUAUUAGCAGAAAAAUGCUGGCCCCAAAAUGUUGAGGGCACUGGCCCAGAGAGAGACAGACAUCUCCAGGCUGCCUCUGUUCCACCAAGUUCUUUAACCACAUGUCUUUCAUUAAGAAGCCCUUAAGGUAAGUUUGGCAACUGACAAAUGGAGGCCAUGGAGUUCUUCACAAAAGAUUAUACUUUCUACAGCCAUUUGCAAUGACACCUGCACUGUGCCAUUUCACUGUCCUUGGGCUUGGCAUAUAUUGCAGUGUAGUCUCCUUCAGCACAGGCCAAUUCAUGGUGGAGAGGUGAAGGAGCAGAAAGGGAACAACAGCAACAACAAAAUCUUACAACCUCAACAACAGAAGCCUCAAACCAACCAAGAAAACAGCUGUAUGUCCAGAGACUGCUGGUCCUUCCUCAGAUGAAGGACCUGUUUUCAUACCUGGCUCUGUCUCGUGUCCCAGACUCAAACUCACAUCACCUCCGAGGCUGAAAGACUGGUUCCUUAUUCUGAAGCUUGAGUCUCCUGGUCUUUGGUAAUAUUUUCAUGCCUUUCUAAGGUGUCUGCUUUAAUGAAUAAGGAAAUAAGAUGACAGACUGACUCCACAGGCUAGGAGAUUGGUUACCACUUACCUCAUAGCAACUGUCCAGACAGAAUGAGAAGAAAUGAAGAGACCCAGAUUGCCUUCCUAAACAAAUGUGGGAGGGAUCAGGCUGCGGUGGUGAUUAGCUCGCUGGCUGUUUCUCUUGACUGUUCUGCUUCAAAUAGAAGAGAGAGUUGCAUGAGGAAUCUGAAGACAGACGAGCCAUGGAAGAUAGAGGUUCCCAAAGGACACGUGAACUGAGACUGCGUUGAUUCAUAAAUCUUCAGGAGAUUUGCCACCCCUGAACUCAAACCUCUACUAUUCUGUUGAUCCAUACUACAGUAUGGAAGUCCAACUGGCUAGUUGUCUUAUGGGUCUUUGUACUUCCAUCUAUUGCUCCCUCACCAUCACCACUGAAACACACUUCACGGCAACUACCAAAUGAAGAUGACAAAUGUUACCACAUGA